CGCUGGGAGUGGCCAUGGGGGGAAAAUCAAUUUAGUUUACACCUUUCAGUCUCACUGGAAAACCACUCGUCCAUGUAUAUGGAUAGCCACAACUUUGAAAAUUAUGCCACAGUGGUUUAAUCAUUUUAGUUAAUUGCGAACAAUUCUAGCAACGGAACAAGCAUGCAGUGAAGUACCAACAGUGGCAGAGCUUCAAAAGUCAAAAGAGAGACUCGAAGCAUCUCGUAUUACAGAAGAAGAUCGACCUUCAACACGAGUUGAUCCAGGCAAAUGACAAGCUACACUACAAACUACAGGAGGAAGACGAUCAGAAACGAAAACAGUUGAGAGAUGCUAUGAAUAAA
Molecule: unclassified non-coding RNA, 344 nt
Filed under: Anneissia japonica
Lineage: Eukaryota; Metazoa; Echinodermata; Crinoidea; Comatulida; Comatulidae
Description: uncharacterized LOC117116462, transcript variant X1
Source: RNAcentral